CCCGGGAAAUUCUUGUGAGGAUUAACUGCCUCUUCUUGUCUUGGAAUUACUUUAAAAAGAAAAAGUUGUAAGUUUUAUUUUUACAAAUUAUGACAUUCCGUACACAGAAGUAAGUUAGAUAGAAAUGUUUUGGUUUCCAUUUCUUUGCUUCAGAGAUGUGUAACGAAGUAUUUGGGGGUGAAAUGAUGUGCUGUCUGUAAUUUGCUUCCUGGUAAUGGGGAGUGGGACGUAAAAAUUAAGAUUGGUCGUUAGGGAUGGCCUUUAGAGCCUCACACUACAUCUCAUUACUGUUCCCCGUAAUUUUCUGUAUCAGAAAUGUUUCAUAAUACUGCUUUUAAAAAGUCAUUUCCUUCUUAAUGUUUGUUUGGUCAUCUCUGGAAAUUCCAACAAGUAUUUAUUCAGUGACAGCUAGUAUACUCAAAGCACUGUUUCCUACUGUGGAGAGUUUACCAAGCACUUACUGCCUCCUGAUUUUUCCCUUCACUGCCUUCUUUUCUUCUGUGUCACAUCCUGUACCUGCUCCCUUCCUUUUGUCCAUUUUUUUUCCUAUAAUAAAUUUGUAAAUAGUAUCUGGAACUUUAACAGCAGCACAGGAAUUUUAAAAGUUUAACCUUCCUGAGUUUAAAAACUCAGUUUAAGAUAUUCCACUGCAUCCUCCAUGAAUUAUAGAAUUCAAGACACAGAGGGCUGCCAGCCAGUGACACCGAAUGCCUUGGUUCCCAUUUCUUUGUACUCUUUUAUAUUAGUCCUUUAUAUUAGUUUGCCUUUUCUAAAUCAGCAGCAAUAUUCUUUUUUCUUCCUUUCUUUCUUUUUUUUUUUUAAGUCCUGGGGAUCAAGAUCAAAUCCAGGGCCUCAAAGCUUGUCCUGCAUGACUUUGACCUAUCCUUAGUCCAAAUAAUUCUCAAGUUAAAGUGUCAGGAUUAAUGUCUCUCACACCCAGAAAUGUAAGUUGGUUUCCAGAGCCAUUCCACUUAUAAAGUAACCCAAUGUGCAAUCAACUAUUCUUUCUGGAGUCCUUAGGUUAAAAUUGUAGGGGCUAUUUGAAAAAUCUCUAUUCUUCCUCCCACUUUCUAAGUUAUUGCCUCUGGGCACAGACCAACAUAGAUGGCAAUGAUUUCAAAUGAAAGUAGCCUAGGCUGGGUAUGCAGCUCUGUGGUAGGAUGUGUGCCUAGCAUGCUUGAAGCUCUGGAUUCAAUCCCCAGCCCUAAAGGAAAAAAAAAAAAAUAGUAACCUAAUUCUGUGGGUUUGAUAGAUUAUAUACAUAUAAUGAACAGUAUGUCUGGCAAGUUAGAUAUAUUCUACUAUUCUAAGUGCUACUACUCUCAGCUUAGGAAAAUUGGCCAUAACUAGAGUGAUCAACCCUUUAAAUAAAGAAUGUGUUCCCAGAUGCCGUGGCACACACCUGUAAUCCCAGUGACUCUGGAGGCUGUGGCAGGAGGAUCACAAGUUCAAAUCCAGCCUCAGCAAGGCGCUAAGCAACCGAGUGAGACCCUGUCUCUAAAUAAAAUACAAAAUGGGGCUGGGGAUGUGGCUCAGUGGUCAGGUGCCCCCAAGUUCAAUCCCUGGUACCAAAAAAAAAGAAUGUGUGAGCUAGAAGAAUGUCUAUCUAUGGGAUAAUCAAACGUGGGAACUUCAGCUUUCUCCUUCCCAUGAUUUCUUCUCCAGUUAAACCAUCACACACACACAGGCCCUAUUGAGGACAUGGUAUAAUGAAAACGAUGAGCUUUGUAAUGAGAUAGACUUAGAUUUGAAUUCUGACCUCAUCAUUUACUGGAUUCUGUGAAGCUUUGGUUCCCAUUUUCUGAAAAUAUAAUCAGAGCAUUAAAUCAUUCAGUUUAUAGAAAAUGGUUAACAUGUAGCCUGUCACACAGUAAUGAUUCAAAAAUGCUUCAUUUCUUUCCAAUGUGAGCUGCUCCAUCUAUGGAACAUUUGAGUCAAGUAUCUUAAAUUAUAAUCAUCUCCUAAAUCACAUCCUUCUUAUUAAAGCAGCCACAAGCAGAUCAUGCAUUCUGCCUCUCAGCAUGCCUGCACAUAACAAUACUGGCCUGUGUACCUCACUGGACUUUACAUGAAUAAGAGACAGGUCCAGUCCUGCUUUUCAGAAAGAAGUACCAAGAGCUGGUAGGUAGAAAAUCAAAACUCCAUAGAAAGGGGAAAAGGGAUAAGACUACUGUUUGAUGAGUAAGAGAGAGCUUUAGAGAAAUUUUUUUUAAAAAAAAAAAGUUUCCAACAGGAAAUUUGAAUUGCAAAAUAGAGCGAUCUGGUCACAAUGGUAAACUAAAUUGUUGUUUCAUGACCUUUCCAAAUUCUUAUCAAGUGAAUCAUGGAUAUGUGGGACCAAAGAGGAAGUAAAAGUUCAUAACAGCCAGUAACAUAACUAUAUAGACUUCAAGAACAGACUGUUUAAAAAAAAAUAAGCAGAAUAUCAUUGAAGCCAUUAUUAGAUUCAUGUCACUUAUUAUUCCCCCAAUAUGGCACUGAAUCUUAUUGGCUUCCAUGGGUAAUGUGAGAUUUUUCUGUCAUAAUUUGAUCAAUCCUUCCCUACCUAAGUAAUUGUUAGUCAGCUUCCUAUUACUGUAACAAAAUACCUGAAAUAAUCAGCUUAUAGAGAGAAAAGUUUUAUUUUUGGCUUACAGUUCCAAUGUGGUUCAUUGGCCCCAUUGUUUUUAUUUUUUUAGGUUCACUCUUUUUGGAGGUGGGUACCAGGAAUUGAAUCCAGGGACACUCAGCCACUGAGCCACAUCCCCAGCCCUAUUUUUGUAUCUGUUUGGAGACAGAGUCUCACCCAGUUGCUUAGUGCCUCACUUUUGCUGAGGCUGGCUUUGAACUCCAUCCUCCUGUCUCAACCUCCUGAGUCUCUGGGAUUACAGGCAUGCACCACCUCACUCGGCUGGCCCCAUUGUUUUUGGAUGAGGUAGUACAUCAUGGCAGGGAGCACAUGGUGAGCAAAGCUGCACACCUCAUGGUGGCCAAGGAACAGAGACAGGGAGAAUAGGGACUGGAGCCCUAUUACUCCCUUCAAGAACAUGCUCCCGGUGACCUGGAAAGCUCCCACUAGGCUCCAUCUCUUAAUGUCCACCACCUCUCAAUGUCCAUCACCUCUCAAUGUACACCACUUCUCAAUAGCCCCAAGCUGGGGACUAAGCCUUUAACACAUGAGCCUUUGAGGAACAUUCAAGAUCCAAACUAUUGCCCCAACUCCCUGCCUGAAGAGGAAGAAAAAGCAACACAGAGCAUCCAGAAUUUUAAAUGACUGGGAACAGUGACCAGGAAAAUGUCUGUGCAUGUUCAAGAUAGAUGCAAUUUUUUCCCAGGUAUUUUCUAUUCCUGGUUGGUUGAAUCCUGGAUGUGAAACUCCCUGACAUAGAAGGACAAUUGUAUUUGGCACCGAGGAUUAAGUUACCUAUGUGACAUAAAUUCCACUCUCUAAACACCACCACCACCUUCCAAAACCAACCAACCAACCAACCAGCCGACUAAACAAACCCACAACUUCUAGGAGUGGAAGAAGAAAUGAAGAAGAAAAUGAAGAGCAAGGAGGAAGAUACUGAGGAGCAAACUGCAGGAACAAACUGAUUUUGUAGCCUUGGUAUAUAGGAAAAGACUCUAUUUUGAUGACUUACUUGCAUAUAUAUUGUCCCAGAAGGGAAAAAAUAUAGAGAGUAAAUGAAGAAAUCAGAGAUAGCUAUGCAGAUCAUGCCAAGGAGAAAUAUGUGCAAAUGGAAUGAUAUUCUAUUAAAAAAUAUAGACUUGAAAGAGGUAUGUGGCCUGUGCCUUUGAAAACAUCAGGGAAAAAUGUAUACAUGUUCAUAAAAUUUUAAUUGUAGUGACACAUGCUUCUACAUUAAGAAUAAUUAGAAGAAAUUUGGCAUAAUUAAAAUAAAAAAUUCAGUAACUUUUAAAACUUAAAUUUAUAUAAAAAGUAAAAAAGAACAGUAUGAAAUAAUUUUAAAUUAUUUUUUAAAAACUACAUGGGAGAAUUGUUUUUAUUGAUUCCCAUGAAAUUACUAUGUGUGUAUAUUUUACUGGGGAUGGAACCCAAGGCCUUUUCUUUGUAAAAAAAAAAAAAAAGUACUUGAUCACUGAUCUCCCACUGAAUUAUAUCUCUAGCUCUUUUUAUUUUAUUUCAAAUAAAAUAAAAUGCUCAGUUGCGCCUUAA
Marmota monax (woodchuck) is the source of this 4159-nucleotide long non-coding RNA. RefSeq lists it as uncharacterized. The transcript is spliced from 3 exons. The record is from RefSeq and is a predicted model, not a curated record. NCBI's taxonomy places the organism in Eukaryota, Metazoa, Chordata, Mammalia, Rodentia, Sciuridae.